Molecule: ribosomal RNA, 121 nt
Filed under: uncultured bacterium
Lineage: Bacteria
Description: partial 16S ribosomal RNA
Rfam family: Bacterial small subunit ribosomal RNA
Source: RNAcentral
UACACACCGCCCGUCACAUCACGAAAAGUCGGUUGCACUAGAAGUCGGUGGGCUAACCCGCAAGGGAGGCAGCCGCCUAAAGUGUGAUCGGUAAUUGGGGUGAAGUCGUAACAAGGUACCC